AGUGAACGCUGGCGGUAGGCCUAACACAUGCAAGUCGAACGGACGCACAGUAAGAGUUCGUCCUUACGGGUGGCGACUGGCGGAUGGGUGAGGAAUAGAUCGCAAUCUUCUUUUUCGUGGGGGAUAACGUAGGGACACUUACGCUAACACCGCAUACGACCUACGGGUUGAAGCAAGGGUGCUUCGGACCUUUCGUGACUCAAUUAGACGAUGACGGAUUAGCUAGUUGGCGAGGUAAAGGCCCACCAAGGCGACGAUGCGCAGCUGAACUGAGAGGGUGAUCAGCCACACUGGAACUGAGACACGGUCCAGACUCCUACGGGAGGCAGCAGUAGGGAAUAUUCGGCAAUGGGCGAAAGCCUGAUCCAGCAAUGCCGCGUGAGUGAUGAAGGCCUUCGGAUCGUAAAACCCUUUUAUUAGGAAAGAAAAGCAGUGGAAUAAUACCUGCCUAUUCUGACGGUACCUAAACAGAAAGCACCGGCUAACUACGUG
This 492-nucleotide ribosomal RNA is filed under the name uncultured bacterium. RNAcentral's name for it is "partial 16S ribosomal RNA". It matches the Rfam family "Bacterial small subunit ribosomal RNA", at positions 29 to 507 of the family's 1533-position model. The record is from RNAcentral.